Molecule: unclassified non-coding RNA, 334 nt
Organism: Mesocricetus auratus (golden hamster)
Lineage: Eukaryota; Metazoa; Chordata; Mammalia; Rodentia; Cricetidae
Gene: 7SK
Rfam family: 7SK RNA
About the family: 7SK was discovered as an abundant small nuclear RNA in the mid-70s but a possible function has only recently been suggested. Two independent studies have found that 7SK RNA binds the CDK9/cyclin T complex (known as elongation factor P-TEFb).
Source: Ensembl
GGAAGUGAGGACAAUGUGUCUGUGACACUUGGUGGCACACUGAUUUCUAGGGUUGAUUUGACUUGGUGGCUGUGGUAGGGUAGUUGUUUGUUCACUUCCUCAGUCUCCUCCAAGUGUCUCCUUUGCAAAGCUGUGCACUUGGUGGGAGGGGAUGACAUUCUUGCAGAAAGGAGGAUUGUUCUUUAAUCAAGGGUAUGCAAGCUGUGCUCUCUGAAAGAACCUCAAACAGGCCACCAAGAGAUAGUACAUGCAAAGAAAGCCUGGACACUCUGUAACUGUGUUUAGUUCCUCGCUUUAUCUGUAGUUUCCCUGGUUUUAGAACUCACAGUCAUCA